This 1164-nucleotide long non-coding RNA is filed under the name Olea europaea subsp. europaea. The record is from RNAcentral. Lineage: Eukaryota; Viridiplantae; Streptophyta; Magnoliopsida; Lamiales; Oleaceae.
UACAAUUAUUUCUAGAAUUGUUAGCCUUUGUCCGAACUUCCUUUGGGGAUCAAAGAAGCCAUUGGUUGCAUGGAAGAAUCUAUGCCUUUCGAAAGCGGAAGGGGGCCUUGGAUUGAAAGACUUGAAGACUUGGAAUUUAGCGCUACUUGCUAAAUCCAUUUGGAACAUUCAAAACAAGAAGGAUACCCUAUGGAUUAGAUGGGUGAAUCAAGUUUAUCUUAAGGGGACUUGCAUUUGGGAGGUUAGCCCUAAAAAGGAUCACUCCCCACUCUUCAAGAAACUGCUGGAAAUUAGGGAUGUUUUGGCUCAAUCCGAGGCUGCUGGACAUCACCAACAGGUCCCGAUGGUUGGGCGCAAUAACGGGGGAAUUUCUCUACCUUAUUCUGAUGAUUUUGAGCAUAAUUUGCUGGGUAAUGUGCCUCAACACUUGGGGCGAAAUCUACAGAUUCUGGGCAGUUUUGUGCACAGGCAGACAGCUUCAGUCAGUAGGCAGUUUUCUGAUUUUUUGAACGAAAAUCUGGGCUGUUUGGGAAUGGAUAAAUUUAGUACAAAAUUUGCUUAUGACUUCUUCAGGCCUAAAGGUUCUUUCAAAACUUGGGGAGCUAAAAUAUGGAAGCCGUGUAUCACCCCGAAGCACUCUUUCUUGCUUUGGUUAGGAGUUCAAUCUAAACUCUUAACUAAGGAUAAGUUGCACUUCUUGGACAUUGAUAUGAAUUGUGUUUUUUGUGCUCAUUCGGAGGAGACUUGUGAGCAUCUUUUCUUUAAAUGUUCUUUCACUUCUUCAUUAUGGGAGAAUGUUAGGCGUUGGCUUGGCAUUAGGAGAUCUAUGUCAACUAUUGUUAGUGCUUUAAAAUGGUUGAAAAAGGAGGCUCGUGGAACAUCAUGGCAAAGUAAAGUGAAGAGGAUUGCUCUUGCCACUAUGGUUUACUAUAUUUGGUUGACACGGAAUAGGAAGAUUUUUGAAGAUCUCAAACCCGACUUGGAUAGCAUUGUGAGACGGAUCAAGACACACGUAUACAAGGUUAUGUUCACCUUGUAUCCGGAUGUCUUGAUCCAUUUCGAAUCUUUAGCAUUGGGACAUUGAGUUUUUAUGUACUUCACUUGAUUGUAUCUCCCGGGUAUGCCCCGGAAUAUUUCGUUUUUAUUUGUCCCUUACGUUUGCCC